Molecule: transfer RNA, 73 nt
Filed under: Bos taurus (domestic cattle)
Lineage: Eukaryota; Metazoa; Chordata; Mammalia; Artiodactyla; Bovidae
Also listed under: 5 other names
Rfam family: tRNA
About the family: Transfer RNA (tRNA) molecules are approximately 80 nucleotides in length. Their secondary structure includes four short double-helical elements and three loops (D, anti-codon, and T loops).
Source: Rfam by way of RNAcentral
UCCCUGGUGGUCUAGUGGUUAAGACUCUGUACUCCCAAUGCAGAGAGCCUGAAUUUAAUCCCUGGUCAGGGGA